GACGAACGCUGGCGGCGUGCCUAAUACAUGCAAGUAGAACGCUGAAGGAGGAGCUUGCUCUUCUGGAUGAGUUGCGAACGGGUGAGUAACGCGUAGGUAACCUGCCUGGUAGUGGGGGAUAACUAUUGGAAACGAUAGCUAAUACCGCAUAAUAACAGUUGCUGCAUGACAACUGUUUGAAAGGUGCAAUUGCAUCACUACCAGAUGGACCUGCGUUGUAUUAGCUAGUUGGUGGGGUAACGGCUCACCAAGGCGACGAUACAUAGCCGACCUGAGAGGGUGAUCGGCCACACUGGGACUGAGACACGGCCCAGACUCCUACGGGAGGCAGCAGUAGGGAAUCUUCGGCAAUGGACGAAAGUCUGACCGAGCAACGCCGCGUGAGUGAAGAAGGUUUUCGGAUCGUAAAGCUCUGUUGUAAGAGAAGAACGAGUGUGAGAGUGGAAAGUUCACACUGUGACGGUAUCUUACCAGAAAGAGACGGCUAACUACGUG
Molecule: ribosomal RNA, 495 nt
Filed under: uncultured bacterium
Lineage: Bacteria
Description: partial 16S ribosomal RNA
Rfam family: Bacterial small subunit ribosomal RNA
Source: RNAcentral